AUGCCGAAGCCGAGCGCUUCCAAGGCGACAGGGAAGACCUGCAGGUUCAUCAGUGGUGUGGUGGAAGGCUUUUACGGGCGACCAUGGACUAUGAACAGAGGACUGAGCUUUUCCAAAGGGAACUUAUUAUCCACCUUGUUCCUUUCACUGAUCCAGUCCUUACAGGAAGUUGUUCCUUUCACCGAUCCAGUCCUUACAGGAAGUUGUUCUUUUCACCGAUCCAGUCCUUACAGGAAGUUGUUCCUUUCACCGAUCCAGCCCUUACAGGAAGUUGUUCCUUUCACCGAUCCCAGCCCUUACAGGAAGUUGUUCCUUUCACCGAUCCAGCCCUACAGGAAGUUGUUCCUUUCACCGAUCC
RNAcentral lists this long non-coding RNA (358 nucleotides) under Oncorhynchus kisutch (coho salmon). RNAcentral's name for it is "lncRNA (ENSOKIG00005028490.1)". The record is from RNAcentral. Lineage: Eukaryota; Metazoa; Chordata; Actinopteri; Salmoniformes; Salmonidae.